Long non-coding RNA from Equus caballus (horse), 3143 nucleotides. The record is from Ensembl. NCBI's taxonomy places the organism in Eukaryota, Metazoa, Chordata, Mammalia, Perissodactyla, Equidae.
CUUCCAACUUGGGCAUGUUGUGCCUGUCUCUCUCUCCCUCUCUUUCUCUCACAGAUCACUUAUUCUGGGAGAAUCAAGUCCUGUUGCGAGCAGCGUUACGGAGAGCUCUAGAUGCUGGUGCUUGACAGAUGCUUGGGGAUGAUGAAGAUGAUUUUCGGUUUGAGGGCUGCUCUCGCUCUCUGCUUGGCCACAUGGAAGUUCCAAAUCUCCCGAAGUGAGUUUUUCGUUGAUGGUGACCUGGGCAGCAGCUCAGAGGAGCCCUGCACGGGGAGGCAUCAAUCACCGACUCGUAACAGCCUUAUGUGCUUGCCACUCCCACUCAGUUUCAUUGCUCGAAAUCCAGACCAGUCCUCAGAACAUGACACUGAUUCCUCUUCUGUGUUUUCUCUCUGUUCUCUGCAGUGGGUUUGUCUUCAACAAUGAGCCAUUCAUGGGCACCAGGGAGCUACCUAGGACCAGGGAGACGGCUGCAGGCCCUGCAGCCCGUCAGAGAAACACCCUGAGAAUGGCUGCAGUUUUCCUGUUUCUCUUGAGCCCCGGAGGAUUUCAAAGUCUCUUUCAAAAUGAAGAAUGGAUCUUUGGAGAUUGCAAAGUACUAGACGCCCACUGUGGGAAACGUUGCUUUUCCUACCCACCAUCCAUACUCCUUUUUCCGGUAACACCACUUCGAUUGUCCUUUGAGGGCCACCCUUCUUCCACACUCAGCUCAUAGGCAUUGGUAGGGUUGACCUGACCAUGGAGGCUCCCUGAUUUCAGGGUAGGCACAGCAUCCUGGCCUGCAUCUUCUGUCCUCCUGGCUUUGGGUGGGGGGUAGUUGGGACCCAGACUGAGCCAUGUCAGAGCCAAUCCUGAAGGAUUUGGGGGGAAGUAUUGGGAAAGAGACUCUGUUUUCACCUAGGUUGCUGACUGGGUAAAGUAUAAGUUGGCAGCUGUGGUGAUCAUCUUUGCUACCACAUGGGAAGAGUCAGUAAGAAUAUAGGCCACAGAGGAAAACUGAGCCAAAGUGACAGACCGCUGAUGACAUAGGGUGUAUACUGGACCCAACUAUGCCUGAAGCCUGGACCCUGACUUCUCAGUUAUGCUGGUCAGUACAUUCCCUCUUAUUCCUUUAUCUCAUUUGAGCUGAGUUUCUGCUCCUAGCUCCAUCAGUUUCUGUUAGCUUGACUCUUUUAGUUGCAACUAAAAGGGUCCUAACUGAUACUAAGCUUUUUUCUGCUUCCUACUGCCUGCUAAGGUUACCCUUAUCCAGUUAUUUGCUAUAGUGUCUUGCGACUGCUCCAAACUGUACCAGAGCUAAGGUGUACUAACCUUGUCCAAAAUUUCAGCCUAGAUGAAAACAGGAAGGCUCACUCACCCAGUUCACCUCUGACUGGAUGGGGUAACAGACACCACUGAAAUCCCCAGCCAUGUCUUGAGUCUGUGGUAAGAGCCCCAGCAUUGCCCAUUCAUUCAGCAAUCAUUAAUUCUAUGUCUACUACAGAAUUCCUUUAAACAGCUCACAGUCAAGCAGAGAGACUGGUGUGAGUGCAAAGAAAUAUGGCAGGCACUGUGAGGAGAGUCUACUUUUGCCUGCCUGGGAAGACCCAAGGAAGAAGUGGCCAGUUGCUGUCUUAGCAGGAUGAAGAAAGAUCUCAUGGAAGAGGUGAUGCUAGAACUGUAUCUUCAAAGAUGAACAGAGGUUUUCAGCUAAAAAAAGUGUAGGAAAGACAGACCAGCCCAGCCUAGGAGAGAAAUGUCAACUGUGGACUAUUACCUGUCUUAAAAAUCUAUUACCUGCAGUAUGGAGAAGGCAGUUCAAUCUUGUAUGAUUAGCACAUGCCUGACUGGUAUGCUAUGCUGUCUAGAACAUAGAAACUUGUCGUCACACUUGUCGCCUCCUUCCUCCCUUCCCCAAAUUCAUAAAAUACUAUAAAAUUUUCUUGCUGGUAAGCAAGGCCAUAUAGAUGUUAGAGUUAAGUGUGGUGGGUAGACUCAGUAUUCCAUGUGUAAUCACCAGCUUGGGGGCUGUGAGUCAGUGGUGGGGAGACAGCAGCAUCAACAGCAGCACCAUCUGCCCUCCUUCUGGAUCAAAGUUAGAAUUGUACACCCUCGAAAUAAGUUGUCCAGUGGUGGCCCCCUGUCUUCCUCUUCAGCUCUUCCAAUAGUUUUGUAAGCUCCCCACUCCUUAUACUGAAUCCCUUUUGGCUGGAAAUACCUAGAGCAGGUCCUGGUGUCUGCACUGAAUUCUGACUGAUACGAUUCCCCACUGUGAGGUCUAGAAGGGCCAAGAGCUGUUUGUCUUGUUCUUCACUGCAUCCCCAGUACCAAGCACAGGGUUUGGCAGUAGUAGGUUCUCAGUAAACAGUUUUUGAGUAACUGUAUUAAAAGUCGUAAUAUGUAAACGGGCAUACAUAUGUAUAUACAAAUAAUUACAACAAUUCAAAAGAUGCCAUAAGGCUGCACUUUCAUGGUCAAGAGCCACCUUACUAGCGAUGAGUGCUAUGUUGUCAUAGGCUAGUGGUACUGUGGGCUGGAGUGUUCACAGAAGACUUGAUGGAGAAGUCUUGGUGGAAAGGAGCUAGGUUCUGAUGGAUAAACAGGAAUUCGGCGGGGGGAAAAAAAGAGUGGGACAGUUUAGAUAUCAGUCCUUAGUGCUCACGUCACUCUGAUGACUAAUGUGUACUCACUCCUGAAAUGAGGACUAAGUUCCCUUUGAAAUGCACAUGGACUUAAAAGUGAAGGGAAAAGGUCUUGGCAUGAUGUUCUCAGGUUCUGCCAAACCCUAAUGUUGUGUUUGGAGCCCUCCUCUGCCCCAUAGGCCACAAGAAUUCCCCUGUCCCAAUCCCAUACCCACAUCAAGCAUGUUUCCGAAUCUUCUGGGAAGCCACACAGUGAGCAGUCAGAUGUCUGAUCUUGCUUCAGAACAAGCAAGGCAAGAUCCGAGUUCAACCAGCAGAAAUUUCCUCGUUGGCUGUCAGUUUCCCUGAGCUCCAGGGUUGGGUGAAAGGUUUGGGGGACAAAUCUCUCUUUAUCAUGCAGUGAUUACAAGCAAAGCGAUGUGAGUGAGGACUUUUGUACCUGCCAGUCAAGAUGAUCAGUGUCACCAGAAGGCCACUAGGCUCACGAGCUCUUCUUUAAGUGGGAACCAACCCAACCAAUGCCAG